UUUCGGUAUCCUGUGUUGCUUACCUACGGAAAGGAAUUCAAUCGUAUCGUUGCCUUUUUUCGCCUGGUGCCCUUUUGGGUUGUUGGGUGGACGUCAGGCACGCUGCGUGUUCCUUGCAUGCCUUGCAUUUUUGUGGGGCUGUUGAGGUCCACGGAGCUGUUGCUUGUUCUCUCGGAUGCGGAAUGUCUCGCAUGGGUGCGGGGUCUCGACCUUUGCUCGCCCAAGCUAUGCAUUUGUCCCUUGACACGAACGACAGCUGCGACUGUGUUGAUCCCAUUGUAGCCCAUGUGCUUGAUGGGGCUCAUGCGGUCGUUGGCGUCGUUGAGGAAUGCUACCUGGUUGAUCCUGCCAGUAGUCAUAUGCUUGUCUCA
RNAcentral lists this unclassified non-coding RNA (371 nucleotides) under Thyrsodium spruceanum. RNAcentral describes it as "partial external transcribed spacer". The record is from RNAcentral. Lineage: Eukaryota; Viridiplantae; Streptophyta; Magnoliopsida; Sapindales; Anacardiaceae.